Molecule: ribosomal RNA, 498 nt
Filed under: uncultured bacterium
Lineage: Bacteria
Description: partial 16S ribosomal RNA
Rfam family: Bacterial small subunit ribosomal RNA
Source: RNAcentral
GAUGAACGCUGGCGGCGUGCCUAAUACAUGCAAGUCGAGCGAACAGACGAGGAGCUUGCUCCUCUGACGUUAGCGGCGGACGGGUGAGUAACACGUGGAUAACCUACCUAUAAGACUGGGAUAACUUCGGGAAACCGGAGCUAAUACCGGAUAAUAUAUUGAACCGCAUGGUUCAAUAGUGAAAGACGGUUUUGCUGUCACUUAUAGAUGGAUUCGCGCCGCAUUAGCUAGUUGGUAAGGUAACGGCUUACCAAGGCAACGAUGCGUAGCCGACCUGAGAGGGUGAUCGGCCACACUGGAACUGAGACACGGUCCAGACUCCUACGGGAGGCAGCAGUAGGGAAAUCUUCCGCAAUGGGCGAAAGCCUGACGGAGCAACGCCGCGUGAGUGAUGAAGGUCUUCGGAUCGUAAAACUCUGUUAUUAGGGAAGAACAAAUGUGUAAGUAACUAUGCACGUCUUGACGGUACCUAAUCAGAAAGCCACGGCUAACUACGUG